RNAcentral lists this ribosomal RNA (253 nucleotides) under uncultured bacterium. RNAcentral describes it as "partial 16S ribosomal RNA". It matches the Rfam family "Bacterial small subunit ribosomal RNA", at positions 524 to 776 of the family's 1533-position model. The record is from RNAcentral.
UACAGAGGUCCCAAGCGUUGUUCGGAUUCACUGGGCGUAAAGGGUGCGUAGGCGGUCGGGUAAGUCUGAUGUGAAAUCUCACAGCUUAACUGUGAAACUGCAUUGGAUACUAUCCGGCUCGAGGAAUGGAGGGGAGACUGGAAUACUUGGUGUAGCAGUGAAAUGCGUAGAUAUCGGGAGGAACACCAGUGGCGAAGGCGGCCUUCUGGACCAAUACUGACGCUCAUGCACGAAAGCGUGGGGAGCAAACAGG